UACGGGGGGUGCGAGCGUUGUCCGGAAUUACUGGGCGUAAAGGGCUCGUAGGUGGCCAACUAAGUCAGACGUGAAAUCCCUCGGCUUAACCGGGGAACUGCGUCUGAUACUGGAUGGCUUGAGUUCGGGAGAGGGAUGCGGAAUUCCAGGUGUAGCGGUGAAAUGCGUAGAUAUCUGGAGGAACACCGGUGGCGAAGGCGGCAUCCUGGACCGACACUGACACUGAGGAGCGAAAGCCAGGGGAGCAAACGGG
Molecule: ribosomal RNA, 253 nt
Filed under: uncultured bacterium
Lineage: Bacteria
Description: partial 16S ribosomal RNA
Rfam family: Bacterial small subunit ribosomal RNA
Source: RNAcentral